This 694-nucleotide ribosomal RNA is filed under the name uncultured Staphylococcus sp. Its description in RNAcentral is "bacterial SSU rRNA". It matches the Rfam family "Bacterial small subunit ribosomal RNA", at positions 85 to 767 of the family's 1533-position model. Lineage: Bacteria; Bacillati; Bacillota; Bacilli; Caryophanales; Staphylococcaceae. The record is from RNAcentral.
UCUGACGUUAGCGGGGACGGGUGAGUAACACGUGGAUAACCUACCUAUAAGACUGGGAUAACUUCGGAAACCGGAGCUAAUACCGGAUAAUAUAUUGAACCGCAUGGUUCAAUAGUGAAAGACGGUUUUGCUGUCACUUAUAGAUGGAUCCGCGCCGCAUUAGCUAGUUGGUAAAGGUAACGGCUUACCAAGGCAACGAUGCGUAGCCGACCUGAGAGGGUGAUCGGCCACACUGGAACUGAGACACGGUCCAGACUCCUACGGGAGGCAGCAGUAGGGAAUCUUCCGCAAUGGGCGAAAGCCUGACGGAGCAACGCCGCGUGAGUGAUGAAGGUCUUCGGAUCGUAAAACUCUGUUAUUAGGGAAGAACAAAUGUGUAAGUGACUAUGCACGUCUUGACGGUACCUAAUCAGAAAGCCACGGCUAACUACGUGCCAGCAGCCGCGGUAAUACGUAGGUGGCAAGCGUUAUCCGGAAUUAUUGGGCGUAAAGCGCGCGUAGGCGGUUUUUUAAGUCUGAUGUGAAAGCCCACGGCUCAACCGUGGAGGGUCAUUGGAAACUGGAAAACUUGAGUGCAGAAGAGGAAAGUGGAAUUCCAUGUGUAGCGGUGAAAUGCGCAGAGAUAUGGAGGAACACCAGUGGCGAAGGCGACUUUCUGGUCUGUAACUGACGCUGAUGUGCGAAAGCGUGGGGA